RNAcentral lists this unclassified non-coding RNA (342 nucleotides) under fungal sp. RNAcentral describes it as "partial internal transcribed spacer region". The stretch from base 1 to 46 matches the Rfam family "Eukaryotic small subunit ribosomal RNA", at positions 1786 to 1831 of the family's 1831-position model. Lineage: Eukaryota; Fungi. The record is from RNAcentral.
AAGUCGUAACAAGGUUUCCGUAGGUGAACCUGCGGAAGGAUCAUUAAAAAUUUUGCCGGAACCAAAAGAUUUUUUUCUUUUUCCGGUCAAAAAGUUGCGCGCACCGUUUCGUUUCUCCUUGGCAAGGGCUUUGGUUCUUUUUUUUUCUUUGAGGAUCCAACUUUCGCACUGACUCCAUCCCCCUUUUUUUUGGGGGGACAGCCGGUGUGGUAAAGCCGUUUCCCUGCCGAGGAAAUUCAUAAAAAACACGCUUUUGCAGAAACCUCUUGUCUGAAAUUUUUUUUUGCGAUUUUUUGCGCAUAAAACAAAAUAUAACUUUCAACAACGGAUCUCUUGGCUCUC